AACGAACGCUGGCGGCAGGCUUAACACAUGCAAGUCGAACGCCCGUAGCAAUACGGGAGUGGCGGACGGGUGGGUAACGCGUGGGAACGUACCCUGAGGUACGGAAUAACCGAGGGAAACUUCGGCUAAUACCGUAUGAGCCCCGCAAGGGGGAAAGAUUUAUCGCCUUGGGAGCGGCCCGCGUCGGAUUAGCUAGUUGGUGGGGUAACGGCCUACCAAGGCUUCGAUCCGUAGCUGGUCUGAGAGGACGAUCAGCCACACUGGGACUGAGACACGGCCCAGACUCCUACGGGAGGCAGCAGUGGGGAAUCUUGCGCAAUGGGGGCAACCCUGACGCAGCCAUGCCGCGUGAACGAUGAAGGCCUUAGGGUUGUAAAGUUCUUUUACCCGUGACGAUGAUGACGGUAACGGGGGAAUAAGCUCCGGCUAACUUCGUGCCAGCAGCCGCGGUAAAGUCUGUACU
Molecule: ribosomal RNA, 463 nt
Filed under: uncultured bacterium
Lineage: Bacteria
Description: bacterial SSU rRNA
Rfam family: Bacterial small subunit ribosomal RNA
Source: RNAcentral